RNAcentral lists this ribosomal RNA (460 nucleotides) under uncultured bacterium. RNAcentral describes it as "partial 16S ribosomal RNA". It matches the Rfam family "Bacterial small subunit ribosomal RNA", at positions 338 to 795 of the family's 1533-position model. The record is from RNAcentral.
CCUACGGGAGGCAGCAGUGAGGAAUAUUGGUCAAUGGACGAGAGUCUGAACCAGCCAAGUAGCGUGAAGGAUGACUGCCCUAUGGGUUGUAAAUUUCUUUUAUAUGGGAAUAAAAUGUUCCACGUGUGGGAGUUUGUAUGUACCAUAUGAACAAGGAUCGGCUAACUCCGUGCCAGCAGCCGCGGUAAUACGGAGGAUCCGAGCGUUAACCGGAUUGAUUGGGUUUAAAGGGAGCGUAGGUGGAUUGUUAAGUCAGUUGUGAAAGUUGGGGGCUCAACCGUAAAAUUGCAGUUGAAACUGGCAGUCUUGAGUAUAGUAGAGGUGGGCGGAAUUCGAGGUGUAGCGGUGAAAUGCUUAGAGAUCAGGAGGAACACCGAUUGCGAAGGCAGCCCACUGGACUGAAACUGACACUGAGGCGCGAAAGUGUGGGUAUCAAACAGGAUUAGAUACCCUAGUAGUC